RNAcentral lists this ribosomal RNA (398 nucleotides) under Bullimyces aurisporus. RNAcentral's name for it is "partial small subunit ribosomal RNA". It matches the Rfam family "Eukaryotic small subunit ribosomal RNA", at positions 30 to 432 of the family's 1831-position model. Lineage: Eukaryota; Fungi; Ascomycota; Sordariomycetes. The record is from RNAcentral.
GCUUGUCUCAAAGAUUAAGCCAUGCAUGUCUAAGUACAAGCCUCAGUAAGGUGAAACCGCGAAUGGCUCAUUAAAUCACACCUAAUCUACUGGAAAGUUACUAGUUACUUGGAUAACUGAGGUAAUUCUUGAGCUAAUACAUGCUAAAAAUCCCGACUUCGGAAGGGAUGUAUUUAUUAGAUUAAAAACCAAUGCCCUUCGGGGCUCUCUGGUGAUUCAUAAUAACUGCUCGAAUCGCAUGGCCUUGCGCCGGCGAUGGCUCAUUCAAAUUUCUGCCCUAUCAACUUUCGACGGCUGGGUCUUGGCCAGCCAUGGUGACAACGGGUAACGGAGGGUUAGGGCUCGACCCCGGAGAAGGAGCCUGAGAGACGGCUACUACAUCCAAGGAAGGCAGCAGG